AUUGAACGCUGGCGGUAGACCUAACACAUGCAAGUCGAACGGCAGCACAGUAAGAGCUUGCUCUUACGGGUGGCGAGUGGCGGACGGGUGAGGAAUACAUCGGAAUCUACUUUUUCGUGGGGGAUAACGUAGGGAAACUUACGCUAAUACCGCAUACGACCUACGGGUGAAAGCAGGGGAUCUUCGGACCUUGCGCGAUUGAAUGAGCCGAUGUCGGAUUAGCUAGUUGGCGGGGUAAAGGCCCACCAAGGCGACGAUCCGUAGCUGGUCUGAGAGGAUGAUCAGCCACACUGGAACUGAGACACGGUCCAGACUCCUACGGGAGGCAGCAGUGGGGAAUAUUGGACAAUGGGCGCAAGCCUGAUCCAGCCAUACCGCGUGGGUGAAGAAGGCCUUCGGGUUGUAAAGCCCUUUUGUUGGGAAAGAAAAGCAGCAGGUUAAUACCCCGCUGUUCUGACGGUACCCAAAGAAGAAGCACCGGCUAACUUCGUG
This 492-nucleotide ribosomal RNA is filed under the name uncultured bacterium. RNAcentral describes it as "partial 16S ribosomal RNA". It matches the Rfam family "Bacterial small subunit ribosomal RNA", at positions 30 to 507 of the family's 1533-position model. The record is from RNAcentral.